This 253-nucleotide ribosomal RNA is filed under the name uncultured bacterium. RNAcentral describes it as "partial 16S ribosomal RNA". It matches the Rfam family "Bacterial small subunit ribosomal RNA", at positions 524 to 776 of the family's 1533-position model. The record is from RNAcentral.
UACGUAGGUGGCGAGCGUUGUCCGGAUUUACUGGGCGUAAAGGGAGCGUAGGCGGACUUUUAAGUGAGAUGUGAAAUACUCGGGCUCAACUUGAGUGCUGCAUUUCAAACUGGAAGUCUAGAGUGCAGGAGAGGAGAAUGGAAUUCCUAGUGUAGCGGUGAAAUGCGUAGAGAUUAGGAAGAACACCAGUGGCGAAAGCGGCUCUCUGGUCUGUAACUGACGCUGAGGUUCGAAAGCGUGGGUAGCAAACAGG